Molecule: long non-coding RNA, 331 nt
Filed under: Mytilus galloprovincialis (Mediterranean mussel)
Lineage: Eukaryota; Metazoa; Mollusca; Bivalvia; Mytilida; Mytilidae
Source: RNAcentral
UUUUUAUUUCUGAAGUUUGUGACUUUGAGGCCUUAUCAGAUAAUUUUUCUUCAUGAAAAUGGUUGAUAAUUUAUAUUGAACAAAAUGUAAAGUUGGAAGCCAAAAAUGUGCAUGUUUUGGACCAUUUGUUACUUAAUUGCUGGAAAGGCCUCAGACUCUGAUGGAUUCUUGUUGUAUAUAUCAUCAUAUGACUAAUGCUGGCUUUGUUUUCUUGCUUUACAUAGGAAGACCCAAAUCUGUUUAUACGACCUAAGAAUGUAAGUUUUAUUUCAAUUGUUUUGCAUAUAUUGCAAAAUUUUAUAGCAAUAAUCAGUAGAGAAAAAAGAAGCAG